AGCGAACGCUGGCGGCAGGCUUAACACAUGCAAGUCGAGCGGGCACUUUCGGGUGUCAGCGGCGGACGGGUGAGUAACGCGUGGGAACGUGCCCUCUGGUUCGGAAUAACUCAGGGAAACUUGAGCUAAUACCGGAUACGCCCUUUUGGGGAAAGGCUUGCUGCCGGAGGAUCGGCCCGCGUCUGAUUAGCUAGUUGGUGAGGUAACCGCUCACCAAGGCGACGAUCAGUAGCUGGUCUGAGAGGAUGAUCAGCCACACUGGGACUGAGACACGGCCCAGACUCCUACGGGAGGCAGCAGUGGGGAAUAUUGGACAAUGGGCGCAAGCCUGAUCCAGCCAUGCCGCGUGAGUGAUGAAGGCCUUAGGGUUGUAAAGCUCUUUUAUCCGGGACGAUAAUGACGGUACCGGGGGAAUAAGCCCCGGCUAACUUCGUG
RNAcentral lists this ribosomal RNA (435 nucleotides) under uncultured bacterium. RNAcentral's name for it is "partial 16S ribosomal RNA". It matches the Rfam family "Bacterial small subunit ribosomal RNA", at positions 29 to 507 of the family's 1533-position model. The record is from RNAcentral.